Non-coding RNA from Sinocyclocheilus anshuiensis, 73 nucleotides. NCBI's taxonomy places the organism in Eukaryota, Metazoa, Chordata, Actinopteri, Cypriniformes, Cyprinidae. The record is from the annotation of a RefSeq genome assembly.
GUUUCUGUAGUGUAGUGGUCAUCAUGUUCGCCGUACAUGUGAAAGGUCCCCAGCUCGAAACUGGGCAGAAACA